CCUACGGGGGGCAGCAGUGGGGAAUAUUGGACAAUGGGCGAAAGCCUGAUCCAGCCAUGCCGCGUGUGUGAAGAAGGCCUUCGGGUUGUAAAGCACUUUCAGUGGGGAAGAAAGCCUUGGGGCUAAUACCCUCGAGGAAGGACAUCACCCACAGAAGAAGCACCGGCUAACUCCGUGCCAGCAGCCGCGGUAAUACGGAGGGUGCGAGCGUUAAUCGGAAUUACUGGGCGUAAAGCGCGCGUAGGCGGUCUGAUAAGCCGGUUGUGAAAGCCCCGGGCUCAACCUGGGAACGGCAUCCGGAACGGCAGGGUAGGGCUGCAGGAGAGGAAGUUGAACUCCCGGGUGGGCGGGGAAAUUGGGUGAGAAUCGUGGGGAAACCCGGUGGCAAGGGGGGCCUCUGGAAGUACCCCACAGCGGGUGUGGCAAAGCGUGGGGACCAAACAAGAUUAGCUACCCCGGUAGUC
RNAcentral lists this ribosomal RNA (464 nucleotides) under Vreelandella stevensii. RNAcentral describes it as "partial 16S ribosomal RNA". It matches the Rfam family "Bacterial small subunit ribosomal RNA", at positions 338 to 795 of the family's 1533-position model. Lineage: Bacteria; Pseudomonadati; Pseudomonadota; Gammaproteobacteria; Oceanospirillales; Halomonadaceae. The record is from RNAcentral.